AAGGCGUUCUGCUGUGUCGUGGGUAACUAUAUCAUUGCCUGUGCGAAAUAAAAGAUUCAGUUGUGACAAGUCUCCAGCGAUAAUGGCAAAGUUAUUGUUUGUCGUAGUUUUGACUGUGCUGUCAAUAUCUGCAUUUACAGAGGCGCAAUUCUUUUUCCAGUGUCCUCCAAACUGCCACGAUACUGAGUGCACAUCCAUGGGCUGUGUCACCUGUGACCCGGGCUACUGCAGAUACUACAGCACAACCAACAAAAUAGGCAUAUGCGUCCUUGCAUGCCCGACUGGAAUGCACUGUUACCAUGGUGUUCUCUCCGUCUGUACGAACGAUCAAAACUAACAACGGGAGGCCGGAAAUUAGGACCACCAAAAGAACUGCUGAACUCACCAUCGGAUUUCGGGCAUUCGUUAUGAUUGAGAGUUGAUAUGAUUUAUCACUUAUAAAAACAAUGAAUAAAUUAAUGCAAUAAACA
Molecule: long non-coding RNA, 470 nt
Organism: Haliotis rufescens (red abalone)
Lineage: Eukaryota; Metazoa; Mollusca; Gastropoda; Lepetellida; Haliotidae
Exons: 4
Source: RefSeq, a predicted model, not a curated record